UCAGGCUACUGGCUAGUCGCGUCCAUCUAUGGUGGACGAGGAAAGUCCGGGCGACAUAGGGAGUGACAGUUGUUAACGACAACCGAGAGUAAUCUUAGGGAAAGUGCCACAGAAACGAUACUACCCAAUUUAUUGGGAAAAGGUGAAACGAGUGGGGUAAAAGCCCACAUUUCUGUGCGGUGACGUACAGAAAUGGUAAACCCUGUCUGUCGCAAGGAUGUUAUGCUUCAAUAGGUACCCGCCGAAGCAUAGCUACAAGAUCCGCUUGAUUCUAUGAGCAAUUAUAGAGCUAGAUAGAUGACUGGCUAAAACAGAACCCGGCUUAUGGGUAGCCUGAUACA
This 341-nucleotide RNase P RNA is filed under the name Candidatus Saccharimonadota bacterium. RNAcentral's name for it is "RNase P RNA component class A". It matches the Rfam family "Bacterial RNase P class A". From Rfam's summary of the family: Ribonuclease P (RNase P) is a ubiquitous endoribonuclease, found in archaea, bacteria and eukarya as well as chloroplasts and mitochondria. Its best characterised activity is the generation of mature 5'-ends of tRNAs by cleaving the 5'-leader elements of precursor-tRNAs. Cellular RNase Ps are ribonucleoproteins. RNAcentral also lists the same sequence under 1 other name. Lineage: Bacteria; Candidatus Saccharimonadota. The record is from RNAcentral.